Molecule: ribosomal RNA, 339 nt
Filed under: Haemophilus influenzae
Lineage: Bacteria; Pseudomonadati; Pseudomonadota; Gammaproteobacteria; Pasteurellales; Pasteurellaceae
Description: bacterial SSU rRNA
Rfam family: Bacterial small subunit ribosomal RNA
Source: RNAcentral
UUGAAUUGAAGAGUUUGAUCAUGGCUCAGAUUGAACGCUGGCGGCAGGCUUAACACAUGCAAGUCGAACGGUAGCAGGAGGAAGCUUGCUUUCUUGCUGACGAGUGGCGGACGGGUGAGUAAUGCUUGGGAAUCUGGCUUAUGGAGGGGGAUAACGACGGGAAACUGUCGCUAAUACCGCGUAGUGUCGAGAGACGAAAGUGUGGGACUGUAAGGCCGCAUGCCAUAGGAUGAGCCCAAGUGGGAUUAGGUAGUUGGUGGGGUAAAGGCCUACCAAGCCUGCGAUCUCUAGCUGGUCUGAGAGGAUGACCAGCCACACUGGAACUGAGACACGGUCCAG